This is an RNA transcript of Nicotiana attenuata, 3572 nucleotides long. It is a transcript of the gene named branched-chain-amino-acid aminotransferase-like protein 1, with no coding region annotated. The transcript is spliced from 21 exons. Lineage: Eukaryota; Viridiplantae; Streptophyta; Magnoliopsida; Solanales; Solanaceae. The record is from RefSeq and is a predicted model, not a curated record.
UAUGAAACAUAAAGAAGUGGAGUUCCACGUCAACUUUUUCUUUGUUCUUUUUUGGGCAAGGAGAUAAUACAAAUUGUCAUUAUCAUUUAAUCACAUUCUUGUUUUCUUCAGCAACAUGUGUAUUUAUGUUUUUUGCUGCUAAACCCAAGAAAACUAAACUGAUUGUAGUAGUCCUAGUAUCUUUUUAAAGAUACAAUCGAAAAGCAAGUUGUGUAAUUCUUGGGAAAAUGGGAGAAGAAACUGAGGUGAUCCAUUCAUGGUCUGCACCAAGGUCUCUAAGUACCAGCCUCAUGUACUCUUUUGCCCAGAGAAAUGACAUCGAAGUUCUUGAUGAACCACUGUAUGCACAUUUUCUGCGGGUCACUGGAGCGGAUAGACCUUACAAGGAAGAACUUAGGUCCAAAAUGGAAAACGAUGGAAAUAAAGUGGUGAAGGAGGUCAUCUUUGGUGCCGGAACAAAAAAGUACCGCUAUUGUAAGCAUAUAGCCAAACAACGUGUGCCAGGUUUGACAAAUGAACUGAUGAAGAGAGGAAAGCACUUCAUCCUGAUAAGGAAUCCCCUUGAUAUCUUGCCAUCUUUUGAUAAGGUUGUGCCUCCAUCCUUUCUUGAGCUGGGGUUGGCAGAGCUGGUCUCCAUAUACAGUGAGCUAUCUGAAUUAGGAAAGCCCCCACCAGUUAUUGAUGCUGCAGAUAUUCAAGAAAAUCCUGAGGCGGCCCUCCGUGGCCUUUGUGAAGACCUUGACAUUCCAUUUCAAGAUUCAAUGCUCAGGUGGGAAGCUGGGCCAAAAUCAUUUGAUGGCAUAUGGGCACCAUGGUGGUAUAAAAGUGUGCAUAAGUCAACAGGUUUUGCUCCUGCAAAGAAAUACCCUACGCGAUUUCCAACAUCAUUGUAUGAUUUGCUGGAGCAAAGCCUACCCUUUUACAACAUGCUUAAGCGUCACGCAAGACGAUCUUCUUAUAUCCUGAACUCAACUUCACCUCAUCCCAGUCUUCCUGUUCCUGCUAAUGAGAAGCUGCUUGCAUGGGUUGGUGAUGAGAUUGUGCCCCGUGAGACUGCCAAGGUUUCAGUGUUUGAUUCAGUUGUCCAAGGUGGUGAUGCAGUAUGGGAGGGGCUUCGAGUGUACAGUGGGAAGCUAUUUAAGCUUGAGGAGCAUUUAGAUAGGUUGUUCGACUCGGCAAAAGCACUAGCGUUCAGCAAUGUACCAACUCGUGAGGAGGUCAAAGAAGCUAUUUUCAAGACUCUUUUAACAAAUGGAAUGUAUGAUAAUGCACAUAUCCGACUAACUUUGACACGUGGUAAAAAGGUAACCUCAGGAAUGAGCCCUGCAUUCAAUCGAUAUGGAUGUACUUUAAUUGUUCUUGCUGAAUGGAAACCUCCAGUCUAUGACAAUGAAAAGGGCAUAAUGUUAGUGACGGCAACGACUCGUCGUAAUUCACCAAAUAAUUUGGAUUCAAAGAUUCACCAUAACAACCUUCUCAACAACAUUCUCGCAAAGAUAGAAGGAAAUAAUGCUGGGGCUGAUGAUGCCGUCAUGCUUGAUAAAGAUGGCUACGUGUCAGAAACUAAUGCUACAAAUAUAUUCUUAGUGAAGAAAGGGCGCGUGGUGACACCUCAUGCUGAUUAUUGCCUUCCUGGCAUAACAAGAGCAACAGUCAUGGAGCUUGUGCUGAAGGAAAAUUUAGUUUUAGAGGAGCGACGAAUUAGCUUAUCAGAAUUUCACACUGCCGAUGAGGUGUGGACAACAGGAACUAUGGGGGAGCUUAGCCCGGUUGUCAAGAUUGAUGGACGUAUAAUUGGUGACGGUCGAGUGGGACCUAUAACACAGAGACUGCAAAAUGCUUACAAGAAGCUGGCAGAAGAAUCAGGAGUGUUUAUACCGACCCAUCAAAAGAGCUAAAUAGAUAGUUUCCAGAUGUCCAAUAAAGAACUGGAGAUCUAAGGGAUGUUCUUCCAUCUCUACGAAAAUUUCAUGUAAUAAUGUGGUCACCUUGUUUUCACAUCUCCCCUACAGCAAUGCCAUUGGAGCGUCUUCUCGUGACUUAUCAAUUGUUCAAGUUCGUUGUGUUAGCUUAUCUAUUCUUCUUGAAUUUGUCUCAAAUUGCCUGAGGAGUUUGAAGGGUUCAUGAGUUGUCAUUAGGAAAGCGAUCCAUUGAAUGCAUAUGAGUGGCAACAAAUUGUUAUUUUCCUAUCAUAAAAUAAGAACUGUGACAUAAUUUAGAUAUAAAAGUCAUGGAAUACUUGUACUCAAAAGAGUUCAAGAAAAAUACAAGCCAAGAUAUAGAGGGGAGAGGGCUGACAGAAAAAACAAGUCAAUGUACCCGUAUAACCAUGUAGGAUACAAGUUUUCUUCUUUUCGAGUUAUGCUUUGCACCCCUAUAUAGACCGAUGUGACACCCUAGGUAAAUCUCACAUCCACAAAAUACGAGAGAGAUGUUGGGUAUAUAAGUAGACAGGUCUUAAAUUCUAGUGACGCGGUUUAUAGCCGUGCGGGCCUAGGCCUAAAUAUGUGACACCCUAGGCAAAUUCUACAUCGACAAAACACGGAAGAGAUAUUGGGUAUAUAAGUAGACAGGCCUUAGACUCUAGUGACGCAUUUUAACCUGCGAGCCUAGGCUCAAAGCGGACAAGUCUAGGCCCAAAGCGGACAAUAUUACAAGUGGGUUGGGCUGUUGCAGAUUUGCACGUUUCCCGGGAUUAUUUUCCCAUUUAAAAACAUUUAACUCAUAAAUUCUGCUGAAUUUAAAGAAUUGAAAAUGGUGAGAAAUUUGUUAAAUCAAAACAUUGCAUGUUCACGUGAUGACAUUGUGCAGGAUUGAUUAUUUUGUCUCACAGUACCCACUCUGAUAAAUGCUUAACUAAUGCUACGAUGGCAUUAUUAUAAGUUCCACUAGAUACUUUUUGUCUCUAAAGAUAUCAAAUAAAAUUGAAUAUUUUACUAUAAUGGGUGGCUAUAAAUGCAACUAUUAAUCAAGAGAUAACAACACUACCAUAAAAUAUAUUCUUCCCCAUUCAUCACAAAUGGUUCCACAACUGAAAUUUGCGUUUUUCUUGAUUGCCGUCCUUGUUGCAACUACUGUUGGCUCACCAAAAGUGCAAGUAAUGGCAGUGCGAGACAUUAUAGGCAUGGAUGUUGGAGUGAUUGAGCUGAAACUUGUUCAAGUUGGUAAAAGAACAACGUGCAAUAGACCAUGCGGAUCAGACGUUGAUUGUGGUGACGGUUCGUUGUGCAUUAGGUGUAAGCCUACAUCUAAACCGGGGGAUUGGUCUUGUCAAAAGUGACUGACAAAUAAAGACAGAAGAAUUGGACUAGCUUAGCUAAAUAUGGUAAAUUUUGCAGUUGGCUUUGCUGCUUACUGCAAAAAUGUAUCUCUUGUUUGUGUGAUCACAUCACCAUGUCAAUGUUUGAGUGUACGUUCAAAUAAUUGCUAUCCCCCUAUCUAGAUCUGUCUUGUUUUGUUUGCGUACCUAUUUUCUUUUUGGGUCUUUAAUUCGUGUAACAGUUAACUAGUGACCUUAUUUCCCACUGUAUAUGGGAAAAAUAAAUAUAUAUCUACCAGUUCAAGCAAGACUA